GGGAUUGUAGUUCAAUUGGGUAGAGCACCGCCCUGUCAAGGCGGAAGCUGCGGGUUCGAGCCCCGUCAGUCCCG
RNAcentral lists this transfer RNA (74 nucleotides) under Vietsenia poilanei. Its description in RNAcentral is "tRNA-Asp". It matches the Rfam family "tRNA". From Rfam's summary of the family: Transfer RNA (tRNA) molecules are approximately 80 nucleotides in length. Their secondary structure includes four short double-helical elements and three loops (D, anti-codon, and T loops). Further hydrogen bonds mediate the characteristic L-shaped molecular structure. tRNAs have two regions of fundamental functional importance: the anti-codon, which is responsible for specific mRNA codon recognition, and the 3' end, to which the tRNAs corresponding amino acid is attached (by aminoacyl-tRNA synthetases). tRNAs cope with the degeneracy of the genetic code in two manners: having more than one tRNA (with a specific anti-codon) for a particular amino acid; and 'wobble' base-pairing, i.e. permitting non-standard base-pairing at the 3rd anti-codon position. Lineage: Eukaryota; Viridiplantae; Streptophyta; Magnoliopsida; Myrtales; Melastomataceae. RNAcentral also lists the same sequence under 1 other name. The record is from RNAcentral.